RNAcentral lists this long non-coding RNA (280 nucleotides) under Gossypium barbadense (sea-island cotton). RNAcentral describes it as "long non-coding RNA (GBAR_LNC014779)". The record is from RNAcentral. Lineage: Eukaryota; Viridiplantae; Streptophyta; Magnoliopsida; Malvales; Malvaceae.
GCGAUGUUGAAUUUGUUCGAAUUGCGCUUGAUGUGCCGGAUUCGUAAAUGUUAGAUUCCCGUGAAAUCUGUUCUCUGGGGGCAUGAAUCCUUUUCCUUGUCGAAAUUGACCUCGCUCAAGUGGAUGAUACUCAGUGUCCUAAUUUUCUAUUUCAUUUUCGUAAUUUUCGGCAUCGUCUACCGUUGGAGUUGAUGAACCAGCCAAAGGUGGCUGUUGGCGGCCUCGGGUUUGUCUUUGCGUUGAAUGUGGUUCAGUACCAUUGUUUGGGGAUCGCGGCGUU